GAGACAGCAGUAGCCGCGGUAAUACGAAGGGUGCAAGCGUUACUCGGAAUUACUGGGCGUAAAGCGUGCGUAGGUGGUGGUUUAAGUCCGUUGUGAAAGCCCUGGGCUCAACCUGGGAAUUGCAGUGGAUACUGGGUCACUAGAGUGUGGUAGAGGAUAGUGGAAUUUCCGGUGUAGCAGUGAAAUGCGUAGAGAUCGGAGGGAACAUCUGUGGCGAAGGCGACUAUCUGGGCCAACACUGACACUGAGGCACGAAAGCGUGGGGAGCAAACAGGAUUAGAUACCCCAGUAGUCCCUGUCUCUUAUAA
Molecule: ribosomal RNA, 308 nt
Filed under: uncultured bacterium
Lineage: Bacteria
Description: partial 16S ribosomal RNA
Rfam family: Bacterial small subunit ribosomal RNA
Source: RNAcentral